This 1406-nucleotide ribosomal RNA is filed under the name uncultured bacterium. Its description in RNAcentral is "16S ribosomal RNA". It matches the Rfam family "Bacterial small subunit ribosomal RNA". The record is from RNAcentral.
AGCGGCGGACGGGUGAGUAAUGCCUAGGAAUCUGCCUGGUAGUGGGGGAUAACGUCCGGAAACGGGCGCUAAUACCGCAUACGUCCUGAGGGAGAAAGUGGGGGAUCUUCGGACCUCACGCUAUCAGAUGAGCCUAGGUCGGAUUAGCUAGUUGGUGGGGUAAAGGCCUACCAAGGCGACGAUCCGUAACUGGUCUGAGAGGAUGAUCAGUCACACUGGAACUGAGACACGGUCCAGACUCCUACGGGAGGCAGCAGUGGGGAAUAUUGGACAAUGGGCGAAAGCCUGAUCCAGCCAUGCCGCGUGUGUGAAGAAGGUCUUCGGAUUGUAAAGCACUUUAAGUUGGGAGGAAGGGCAGUAAGUUAAUACCUUGCUGUUUUGACGUUACCAACAGAAUAAGCACCGGCUAACUUCGUGCCAGCAGCCGCGGUAAUACGAAGGGUGCAAGCGUUAAUCGGAAUUACUGGGCGUAAAGCGCGCGUAGGUGGUUCAGCAAGUUGGAUGUGAAAUCCCCGGGCUCAACCUGGGAACUGCAUCCAAAACUACUGAGCUAGAGUACGGUAGAGGGUGGUGGAAUUUCCUGUGUAGCGGUGAAAUGCGUAGAUAUAGGAAGGAACACCAGUGGCGAAGGCGACCACCUGGACUGAUACUGACACUGAGGUGCGAAAGCGUGGGGAGCAAGCAGGAUUAGAUACCCUGGUAGUCCACGCCGUAAACGAUGUCGACUAGCCGUUGGGAUCCUUGAGAUCUUAGUGGCGCAGCUAACGCGAUAAGUCGACCGCCUGGGGAGUACGGCCGCAAGGUUAAAACUCAAAUGAAUUGACGGGGGCCCGCACAAGCGGUGGAGCAUGUGGUUUAAUUCGAAGCAACGCGAAGAACCUUACCUGGCCUUGACAUGCUGAGAACUUUCCAGAGAUGGAUUGGUGCCUUCGGGAACUCAGACACAGGUGCUGCAUGGCUGUCGUCAGCUCGUGUCGUGAGAUGUUGGGUUAAGUCCCGUAACGAGCGCAACCCUUGUCCUUAGUUACCAGCACCUCGGGUGGGCACUCUAAGGAGACUGCCGGUGACAAACCGGAGGAAGGUGGGGAUGACGUCAAGUCAUCAUGGCCCUUACGGCCAGGGCUACACACGUGCUACAAUGGUCGGUACAAAGGGUUGCCAAGCCGCGAGGUGGAGCUAAUCCCACAAAACCGAUCGUAGUCCGGAUCGCAGUCUGCAACUCGACUGCGUGAAGUCGGAAUCGCUAGUAAUCGUGAAUCAGAAUGUCACGGUGAAUACGUUCCCGGGCCUUGUACACACCGCCCGUCACACCAUGGGAGUGGGUUGCUCCAGAAGUAGCUAGUCUAACCGCAAGGGGGACGGUUACCACGGAGUGAUUCAUGACUGGGGUGAAGUCGUAACAAGGU